Molecule: unclassified non-coding RNA, 338 nt
Filed under: fungal sp.
Lineage: Eukaryota; Fungi
Description: partial internal transcribed spacer region
Rfam family: Eukaryotic small subunit ribosomal RNA (bases 1-46)
Source: RNAcentral
AAGUCGUAACAAGGUCUCCGUAGGGGAACCUGCGGAGGGAUCAUUUCCAUAAAAAAAAAUUGAGAUGUUCAUGGGGUGAGAUGGAGGAUGUGGUUUCACAUGCUUUGUUUUAUUCUUUGAAUGUUUCAACAAAGUUGGUUGUGUUCAUUUCUUUCUUUUAAUACUUGAGAAUGAAUAGAGGAUAAUAAGUUGGAAGCAUUGAUUUGCUUUCACUUGUCUUCUCUUUUUAUUUCUUGAUGUGUUAAAGAACAACAUGUAAUUCAAGUAUCCUUAAUGUGAUAGAAAUCUGCUUUAUUUAUAAAAAUAGACAACUAUCAACGGCGGAUCUCUUGGUUCGU